RNAcentral lists this ribosomal RNA (490 nucleotides) under uncultured bacterium. RNAcentral's name for it is "bacterial SSU rRNA". It matches the Rfam family "Bacterial small subunit ribosomal RNA", at positions 28 to 507 of the family's 1533-position model. The record is from RNAcentral.
GAUGAACGCUAGCGGCAGGCUUAAUACAUGCAAGUCGUACGGGAUCCGAGGUAGCAAUACUUUGGUGAGAGUGGCGCACGGGUGCGUAACACGUAUGCAACCUACCUAUAACCGGGACACAACCUCGAGAAAUUGAGGCUAAUAUCCCAUAACACUGCGAGAUGGCAUCAUUUUGCAGUUAAAACUCCGGUGGUUAUAGAUGGGCAUGCGCGACAUUAGCUAGUUGGUGAGGUAACGGCCCACCAAGGCUACGAUGUCUAGGGGUUCUGAGAGGAUUAUCCCCCACACUGGUACUGAGACACGGACCAGACUCCUACGGGAGGCAGCAGUAAGGAAUAUUGGUCAAUGGGCGCAAGCCUGAACCAGCCAUGCCGCGUGAAGGAUGACGGCCCUACGGGUUGUAAACUUCUUUUGUACGGAACGAAAAGACUCUUUCUAAUAAAGAGGGUCCAUGACGGUACCGUAAGAAUAAGCACCGGCUAACUACGUG